GGGAGUACAGCUCAUUAGUAGAGUGCUUGCCUAGCAUGCAUGAGGCUCUGGGUUCAAUCACCAGUACUGCCA
RNAcentral lists this transfer RNA (72 nucleotides) under Marmota monax (woodchuck). It matches the Rfam family "tRNA". From Rfam's summary of the family: Transfer RNA (tRNA) molecules are approximately 80 nucleotides in length. Their secondary structure includes four short double-helical elements and three loops (D, anti-codon, and T loops). Lineage: Eukaryota; Metazoa; Chordata; Mammalia; Rodentia; Sciuridae. RNAcentral also lists the same sequence under 3 other names. The record is from Rfam by way of RNAcentral.